This 460-nucleotide ribosomal RNA is filed under the name uncultured bacterium. RNAcentral describes it as "partial 16S ribosomal RNA". It matches the Rfam family "Bacterial small subunit ribosomal RNA", at positions 338 to 795 of the family's 1533-position model. The record is from RNAcentral.
GCUACGGGUGGCAGCAGUGAGGAAUAUUGGUCAAUGGGCGAGAGCCUGAACCAGCCAAGUCGCGUGAAGGAUGACGGCCCUACGGGUUGUAAACUUCUUUUGUCAGGGAGCAAUUGAGUCCACGUGUGGUCUUAGCGAGAGUACCUGAAGAAAAAGCAUCGGCUAACUCCGUGCCAGCAGCCGCGGUAAUACGGAGGAUGCGAGCGUUAUCCGGAUUUAUUGGGUUUAAAGGGUGCGUAGGCGGAAUAUCAAGUCAGCGGUAAAAAUUCGGGGCUCAACCCCGUCCUGCCGUCGGAACUGGGGGCCUUGAGUGGGCGAGAAGUAUGAGGAAUGCGUGGUGUAGCGGUGAAAUGCAUAGAUAUCACGCAGAACCCCGAUUGCGAAGGCAGCAUACCGGCGCCCUACUGACGCUGAGGCACGAAAGUGCGGGUAUCGAACAGGAUUAGAUACCCCAGUAGUC